RNAcentral lists this transfer RNA (72 nucleotides) under Planctomycetes bacterium RBG_19FT_COMBO_48_8. Its description in RNAcentral is "tRNA-Met". It matches the Rfam family "tRNA". Rfam says of the family: Transfer RNA (tRNA) molecules are approximately 80 nucleotides in length. Their secondary structure includes four short double-helical elements and three loops (D, anti-codon, and T loops). RNAcentral also lists the same sequence under 3 other names. The record is from RNAcentral. Lineage: Bacteria; Pseudomonadati; Planctomycetota.
GGGCUCGUAGCUCAGCGGUAGAGCAGUGGACUCAUAAUCCAUUGGUCGUAGGUUCGAAUCCUACCGGGCCCA